This 424-nucleotide ribosomal RNA is filed under the name uncultured prokaryote. RNAcentral describes it as "bacterial SSU rRNA". It matches the Rfam family "Bacterial small subunit ribosomal RNA", at positions 355 to 776 of the family's 1533-position model. The record is from RNAcentral. RNAcentral also lists the same sequence under 1 other name.
UAGGGAAUCUUCUGCAAUGGACGAAAGUCUGACAGAGCAACGCCGCGUGAGUGAAGAAGGUCUUCGGAUUGUAAAACUCUGUUGUCAGGGAAGAACACCCGGGAGAGGAUCCCGGCUUGACGGUACCUGAUGAGAAAGCCCCGGCUAACUACGUGCCAGCAGCCGCGGUAAUACGUAGGGGGCAAGCGUUGUCCGGAAUCAUUGGGCGUAAAGCGCGCGCAGGCGGUCCCUUAAGUCUGAUGUGAAAGCCCACGGCUCAACCGUGGAGGGCCAUUGGAAACUGGGGGACUUGAGUGCAGGAGAGGAGAGUGGAAUUCCUGGUGUAGCGGUGAAAUGCGUAGAGAUCAGGAGGAACACCGAUGGCGAAGGCAGCUCUCUGGCCUGUAACUGACGCUGAGGCGCGAAAGCGUGGGGAGCAAACAGG